GAUGAACGCUGACAGAAUGCUUAACACAUGCAAGUCGAUUCGAUUUACCUUCGGGUAUUGAGGAUGGCGGACGGGUGAGUAACGCGUAAGGAACUUGCCUCUUGGUCUGGGACAACUGUUGGAAACGACAGCUAAUACCGGAUAUUAUGAGAUUCUCGCAUGGGAAACUUAUGAAAGCUAUAUGCGCCAAGAGAGAGCCUUGCGUUCCAUUAGCUAGUUGGUGGGGUAACGGCCCACCAAGGCGACGAUGGAUAGCCGGCCUGAGAGGGUGAACGGCCACAAGGGGACUGAGACACGGCCCUUACUCCUACGGGAGGCAGCAGUGGGGAAUAUUGGACAAUGGGCCACAAGCCUGAUCCAGCAAUUCUGUGUGCACGAUGAAGGUCUUCGGAUUGUAAAGUGCUUUCAGUUGGGAAGAAGAAAGUGACGGUACCAACAGAAGAAGCGACGGCUAAAUACGUGCCAGCAGCCGCGGUAAUACGUAUGUCGCAAGCGUUAUCCGGAUUUAUUGGGCGUAAAGCGCGUCUAGGCGGAAAAAUAAGUCUGAUGUUAAAAUGCGGGGCUCAACUCCGUAUUGCGUUGGAAACUGUUUUUCUAGAGUACUGGAGAGGUGGGCGGAACUACAAGUGUAGAGGUGAAAUUCGUAGAUAUUUGUAGGAAUGCCGAUGGAGAAGUCAGCUCACUGGACAGAUACUGACGCUAAAGCGCGAAAGCNUGGGGAG
Molecule: ribosomal RNA, 722 nt
Filed under: uncultured prokaryote
Description: bacterial SSU rRNA
Rfam family: Bacterial small subunit ribosomal RNA
Source: RNAcentral